Molecule: unclassified non-coding RNA, 309 nt
Filed under: fungal sp.
Lineage: Eukaryota; Fungi
Description: partial internal transcribed spacer region
Rfam family: Eukaryotic small subunit ribosomal RNA (bases 1-46)
Source: RNAcentral
AAGUCGUAACAAGGUAACCGUAGGUGAACCUGCGGUUGGAUCAUUAUUGAUUUUUAUCCAUUUUUUUUUAAAAGAGUUGCCUUUUUUUUUUUUAGUUGAGAUUUUUAAAAAAAUUUCCUGAAAAUAAUUAUAGAAAGGUUUUCUCUUUAAAAAAAAAAUGAUAUACACCUUUGUGAACUGUUUUAUGUAUUUUUGGUUGAGAGAUUUUUUUUUCUCAACCAAACAUUCUUAACAAACCACUAUAUUUUUGACUGAAUUUUUUUUAAUUUAAAAAAAAAACAACUUUUGACAACGGAUCUCUUGGCUCUC